GACGAACCGUGCGAACGUUAUUCGGAAUCACUGGGCUUAAAGGGCGCGUAGGCGGGCCUGAAAGUCAGGGGUGAAAGCCCACGGCUCAACCGUGGAAGUGCCUCUGAUACUUCAGGCCUCGAGGGAGGUAGGGGCGUGCGGAACUUCCGGUGGAGCGGUGAAAUGCGUAGAUAUCGGAAGGAACGUCGGUGGCGAAAGCGGCGCGCUGGACCUCUUCUGACGCUGAGGCGCGAAAGCCAGGGGAGCGAACGGG
This 253-nucleotide ribosomal RNA is filed under the name uncultured bacterium. RNAcentral's name for it is "partial 16S ribosomal RNA". It matches the Rfam family "Bacterial small subunit ribosomal RNA", at positions 524 to 776 of the family's 1533-position model. The record is from RNAcentral.